RNAcentral lists this long non-coding RNA (660 nucleotides) under Sorghum bicolor (sorghum). RNAcentral's name for it is "long non-coding RNA (SBIC_LNC007092)". Lineage: Eukaryota; Viridiplantae; Streptophyta; Magnoliopsida; Poales; Poaceae. The record is from RNAcentral.
UGUUCUGGUGUAUGGAUACAUUCUUGAAUUUUGUUACCUGGAAUUGUUGCAAUCCUCCAAUAAUGUCAUUGUGAGCUAUGCAUGAGUUUGAUCGAUUUAUUUCAUUGUUAUUACUAGGAGAAUUCCCCGCGCGUUGCCGUGGGUAUGAAUGGGGAAUAUAAAUAUGGUCUAAUUGUAGUCUAUUGAGUUAUCUAUAUAUAGUUUUAGUAGUUAGUUUCGGAAGAGAAAGAGAGAAGAUCACGUGAGAGAAUAAUUGCUAGCAAGUAUGCAUGUAUGGUCAUGUGUAGGUAGUUGCAUCCACUACUGAAACCAUUUGUGAGUGGGCACUUAAUUGCAUGCACCAGCAGGAGAAGUGGAUGAUGACGUGGCGCAAGGAGGUGCAAGAGAAUUAGCUUAGUGAGGUUUGUCUUUAUAGGAUAUAUGGUCUAAUUGUAGUCUAUUGAGUCAUCUAUAUAUAGUUUUAGUAGUCAGUUUCGGAAGAGAAAGAGAGAAGAUCACGUGAGAGAAUAAUUGCUAGCAAGUAUGCAUGCAUGGUCAUGUGUAGGUAGUUGCAUCCACUACUGAAACCAUUUGUGAGUGGGCACUUAAUUGCAUGCACCAGCAGGAGAAGUGGAUGAUGACGUGGCGCAAGGAGGUGCAGGAGAAUUAGCUUAGUGGGGU